Molecule: transfer RNA, 74 nt
Filed under: Methanobacteriota archaeon
Lineage: Archaea; Methanobacteriati; Methanobacteriota
Also listed under: 4 other names
Description: tRNA-Tyr
Rfam family: tRNA
About the family: Transfer RNA (tRNA) molecules are approximately 80 nucleotides in length. Their secondary structure includes four short double-helical elements and three loops (D, anti-codon, and T loops). Further hydrogen bonds mediate the characteristic L-shaped molecular structure. tRNAs have two regions of fundamental functional importance: the anti-codon, which is responsible for specific mRNA codon recognition, and the 3' end, to which the tRNAs corresponding amino acid is attached (by aminoacyl-tRNA synthetases). tRNAs cope with the degeneracy of the genetic code in two manners: having more than one tRNA (with a specific anti-codon) for a particular amino acid; and 'wobble' base-pairing, i.e. permitting non-standard base-pairing at the 3rd anti-codon position.
Source: RNAcentral
CCCGCCUUAACUCAGUCUGGCAGAGUGGUCGGCUGUAGACCGACAUGUCCCCCGUUCAAAUCGGGGAGGCGGGA